CCAAGGCCCCGACGCCCGUCCGCCCGUCGCGUUGCUUCGAUGCCCCCCCUCGCAGUCGCGACUCGCCUCCUCCGCGCCGUUCCCCAUUCAUCCUAAAGGCCUAAACCCUAGCCUCCUUGCUCCUGCGCUCCGGUCGCCGGUGCGUCCCCUCCUCCGCUGGCCGCCGGCGCCGGUGCAAUCACCCGCCGCCGCCAGUGCAUCCGUCCAGGGCUGCACGGCCACCUGUGCCCACUGGGUUGUGCGGUCCUAACGCAAGUUCGGCGCCGACCACCGCCGAACUGAAGCCGUCUGCCCACACCCACUCGCGGCAGCACCGCCGGACGGCUCCCGGCACUGCGCCAGUGCGUGCUGCCUCCGGUAUAGCGGCUGCCGGAUCCCGCCGCGGCACCUGCAGGUUGGUACUUUUAAUGAGACAUAGUUUAAUGUUUUAAUUUGAACCUAGCUGGCCUCUUACACUGCCAUACUUAGCUCCAUUUCUGAGACUAUCACUGCUGGACGCCAUGACGUCUAGUGGAGGUCCGAUCCAUUGGGACUUGAGGUCUUCUUGUUUGGGCUAUAGGACCCCUAUCUUGCUUUGCUUGGACGGAUUGCUCAUGUUGUUUUGUUUCUCUUCCUUAUGGCGAUCCUUGAAAUCCUUUUUUUGUUUUUCUUCCCAGCCCAUCUAGGCUGCAUGUAUAGGUGAUUUGUUUUAUUUUCCAAGCCUUUGGGCAAGUGAACCUCCACACCCAAUGUGAUGUCAGCUGCUGGCUGUAGACUGGAGCUCCUCCCUUGCGGCUGUUUAUCCCCCACUGCUUUGCCUAGGGGCGCUAGCCAUUCCAGCUGAGUUUGCUUCUAUGGGGAUUGUCGUUUGUGAUAUUCGGGUCUUGAGGUCCCCUUCUGCGCGAUUGAUGAGCCUAUUAUGUUGUGGUGCAAUGCUUUAGGGAUUUGGAGUUUGAACAAUGCCAAUGUGGCUACCCUGCAUGAUUUUAGGCGAACAUAGUGUCAGUACAUUUUGGGAAUUUUACCAGAAAUGCCCUGAAGUCUGCAUGCUCUGUUUUAUAAGUUAUUGGGAUAUUCAUUGAUUCCAUUCAUGUAGUUGCCUGUGUUAGUUCUCUAACCAAGCUUUGAGGCAUCUCACUUGAUCAAAUAAUGCAACUUAAAAGUAUUUCAUUAGAUUGUUGUGAAAUGAAUUUCACUCAUUUAGAACAACUGGAUGAAAUGUUACUGUGAUACAUUAUGCGUAGCCGUGGGAUUUCUUAGAAUUUAGUUAUUUCUGGCAUCGACACCAACAGUGUGCUAUAAUUUACUUCUGCUGAUCCGCAUUAGAAUUCCUCUGUGUUAGUUAAUUAUGAAAAAAAUCAUCGCAAAUGAAGGAAUGAGUGUGAAAAGUCAAUUUGUCACUCUUUUUAAUACUCUGUGAUUUUAGCCUUCUUAAAUUUUCCCUAUUUUUAGGUGGUUUUAGAACUUCUACACAUUGUUUACCCCUUUUGUCCAUUUUUGUCGCUGCUUAAUAAAUGCUACCACUCUCACAAAUGAAUAAGUCAUCUUUCCAAAUGUGCAUAUUAAGUGAAGGGCCCUAAGGAUAUUUGAUAUACUACUUAAUCCUUGUGCUCAAGUCUAAAUGGCCUAUAUUUGGAAUCAGAGGAUGUAGAUGUAGUGACCUCCAGGGGUUUCAGAAUAGCUCAUUGGUAUAUGUUACUAUAGGUUGGAUACCUGCUUCCAACAUUCAAUUUUUCGUUGGCUCAUUUCAGCAAUCUGAAGGCAUACUGCACUGUCUGCUCUUCAACACAUUGGGCACAUAUUUCUCUGGGUCAUUGAUUUUUUUGUUUAACCCAAAACUAUGGGGCUACAACCUUCCAGCGUGAUCAAUUUUUACAACUGCAAUAGGAUUUUCAUGUACAAGCAGACUACAAAGAACUUGGGGGGACACAGAAACUGAAAUGGCUACGUCAGUUCCUUUUCCUUGCUACUCACUACAUAUUGCUAGAUUUCUGCAGGCACUAAUCACUAACAGUUACUGCACUGUUGGUAUGCGAGUCCUAGUUUGCUGCUCAUGCUCUAAGAUAUGAGGUAGUUCUGUGUGAGGGAUUUGAAAGAUGGCGUCAAAAGGUCCCCGGUCAAGGCUAGACCAUGACACAAGAGCUAGGCGUCAGAAGGCUCUUGAAGCUCCAAGGGAGCCUCGACGGCCAAAAGUUCACUGGGACCAUGUCCUUGCUGAGAUGUUGUGGCUGGCAAAGGAGUUUGAUUCUGAGAGAAAAUGGAAGUUGUCCAUGGCCAAAAAGAUUGCUCAAAGAGCAAAUAAGAGCAUAGUUGAUCAAGCAGCAAAGGGCGAGAGAAAACAGAAGGAGGAAGAACAUAGAAUGCGAAAAGUUGCCGUUAAUAUUUCAAAGGAUGUGAAGAAGUUCUGGAUCAAAAUAGAAAAGCUGGUUGUCUAUAAGCAUCAACUGGAGCUUGAGGAGAGAAAGAAGAAGGCACUUGAUAAGCAACUUGAUUUCCUUUUAGGUCAGACUGAAAGGUAUUCAACAAUGUUGGCGGAAAACCUUGUAGAUAUGCCCUAUUCUCAAAACCUAGAAACCGAGACUUCGCAGAUAAACCAACCAUCCCAUCAAGAGGUAGUAGCAGAAGAGAACUUAAACGCAACCAUUCCGGAUGAUCUUGAUAAUAUGGAAGUCGAUGAUGAUUAUGGGAGCUCCUUGGAUGAAGAGCCAGAAGAUGAUGAGCACACUAUCGAUGAGGAUGAAGCUCAGAUUACCGAAGCUGAGCGCAAUGAAGAACUAGCUGCUUUAGAGGCAGAAGCUGACCUACCACUGGAUGUUAUUCUCAAGAUGUAUACAAAAACCAAAGUUACUCCGAACCAGGCUAAUGGGUGUGAUCAUGAACUUGCUCACUCUUCAAGUGACGAAGGCAAUUCUUCUGAGGAAGUGGAUGAUGGUCAUUCUUAUGCUGAGUUUGUGAAGAAGAAUCAUGGUAAAAGUAAUGGAAAUAUUUCUUCUAUCAAUGAUCAGGAGGACGAAGAUUACAUUGCUGCUGAAGAAGUAAAGGAUGACGAAGCAACUUUGUCCGAAGAGGAACAAUUGGCAAAGAAAGAAGAUCCUGAUCAUCUGGAAGAGAUUAAGUUACUGCAGAAGGAGAGCGAGAUACCACUAGAAGAACUUCUUGCGAGGUACCGAGAGGAUGGCUGUGCAGAUCAUGAAACAGCUGAGUUGGAGAAUUCACCCCAUUUUGUUGAAGAGGUCAAUACCGACAAGUCUUUGAAUGAUCAAUCUGUGAACAUUUUGGAAGCGAAAAGUGAUAUUUUUGUGGAUCACCAAUCCAGGGAUGUGCUGGAAACUGAGCACACGACUCUACAAUCAGAAAUUGCAUCAGAGCCUUGUGCUCAACAAAAUUUUGUGGAAGAGAAUAAUCUCACUGAUGUUAAGACAGUCAAUGAAGAUAAGAGUGAUGAUGUAAUUGCUGAUGCUGCAGCUGCUGCAAGAUCAGCACAACCAACUGGCAACACCUUCUUGACUACAAAAGUGCGCACAAAAUUCCCAUUCCUUCUUAAGCAUUCUCUUCGUGAAUACCAGCAUAUAGGGCUGGAUUGGUUAGUUGCUAUGUAUGAGAAGAGGCUUAAUGGAAUUCUAGCAGAUGAAAUGGGUUUAGGCAAGACAAUCAUGACUAUCUCCUUGCUUGCGCACCUUGCGUGUGAGAAGGGGAUAUGGGGUCCUCAUCUUAUUGUCGUGCCGACUAGUGUUAUGCUAAAUUGGGAGACUGAAUUUCUUAAGUGGUGUCCUGCUUUUAAAAUACUGACUUAUUUCGGAAGUGCAAAGGAAAGAAAGCAGAAGCGUCAGGGCUGGAUGAAACCAAAUUACUUCCAUGUUUGCAUCACAACAUAUAGGCUUGUCAUUCAGGAUUCUAAAGUGUUUAAGCGAAAAAAGUGGAAGUAUCUUAUUCUUGAUGAGGCUCAUCUGAUAAAGAACUGGAAAUCACAGCGUUGGCAGACAUUGCUCAACUUCAAUUCAAAGAGACGUAUUCUUCUGACUGGAACUCCACUGCAAAAUGACCUUAUGGAACUUUGGUCCCUCAUGCAUUUUUUGAUGCCUCAUGUAUUUCAGUCUCAUCAAGAGUUCAAGGAUUGGUUCUGCAAUCCAAUUUCCGGGAUGGUGGAAGGUCAAGAUAAAGUAAACAAAGAAGUUAUAGAUCGAUUGCACAAUGUCCUUCGGCCAUUUAUACUGCGUCGACUGAAAAGAGAUGUUGAGAAACAGUUACCAAAGAAGCAUGAGCAUGUCAUAUAUUGCCGACUUUCUAGAAGGCAAAGGAACUUGUAUGAAGAAUUUGUCGCUAGCUCAGAGACACAAGCAACCCUGGCGAGUGGGAAUUAUUUUGGCAUGAUAAGCAUCAUCAUGCAACUUAGAAAGGUCUGUAACCAUCCAGAUCUUUUUGAAGGUCGGCCAAUAAUAAGCUCAUUUGACAUGGCUGGUAUUAACAUGCAGCUCAGCUAUUCAGUCUGCAUGCUCCUUGAUAAGAGUCCAUUUUCUCAGGUGGACCUGUCUGAUAUGAAUUUUGUGUUUACUCAAAAUGAAUUUAGCAUGAGUUCCUGGGAAGCUGACGAGGUCAUCUCCGCCUUUCCUUCAAGUAUCACCUCCAGGGACUGUGACCUGGAUAUUUUUUGCUCUAAUAAGGAUCAUCAGGGAAGUAAUUUGACAAACAUUUUUGAAGAUAUUCAGAAAGCCCUACAGGAGGAGAGAAUAAAGGAAUCCAGAGAAAGGGCAGCUUCUGUUGCAUGGUGGAAUAGAGUUAGAUGCCAAAAGAGACCUGUCUAUGGCACAAACAUGAGACAUGUUUUGACUGUAAAGCAUCCUGUAUCAAAUAUUCUUAAUAAGAGGAACAAUCCAUUGUGCCACAUGGACUAUUCAUCACGCCUUGCAGAUCUUGUUCUUCCAUCUGUGGAACGCUUUCAGAAAAUGCUUUAUUUUGUUGAAUCAUUUACAUUCGCAAUUCCAGCUGCUCGAGCUCCUCCCCCUGUUUGCUGGUGCAGCAAAGGAAAGUCUCCUGUUUUUAUUGAUCCAGCAUAUAGAGAAAAAUGCAUGUACAAGUUUUCUCCCAUUCUGUCUCCUAUAAGGUCUGCUAUCGUUCGUCGUCAAGUCUACUUUCCUGAUAGGCGUUUGAUCCAGUUUGACUGUGGGAAGUUGCAGGAACUUGCUAUUCUGUUAAGGCGUUUGAAAUCAGAAGGCCACAGGGCCUUGAUAUUUACUCAGAUGACUAAGAUGCUUGACGUCUUGGAAGAGUUCAUAAAUUUAUAUGGGUAUACAUAUUUGCGAUUAGAUGGUUCUACUCCCCCAGAAGAGAGGCAGACUCUAAUGCAGAGGUUCAACACAAAUCCAAAGUUUUUCCUUUUCAUUUUGUCCACACGUAGUGGUGGUGUGGGAAUCAACCUUGUAGGUGCAGACACUGUUAUCUUCUAUGACAGUGACUGGAACCCUGCAAUGGACCAACAAGCACAGGACAGAUGCCACAGGAUUGGUCAGACUCGUGAAGUUCACAUAUAUAGACUCAUCAGUGAAAGCACUAUAGAGGAGAACAUUCUCAAGAAAGCAAAUCAGAAACGAGCUCUUGAUGAUUUAGUGAUACAACGUGGUAGCUACAAUACGGAAUUCUUCAAGAAACUUGAUCCUAUGGAGUUCUUUUCCGGGCACACAUCUCUUCGUGUGGAAGGUCAGGAGAAGAAUUGCUCUACAUCCGUGGGAGCUUCAAAUGAUGUGGAUCUGGCUCUGUCAAUUGCAGAUGUUGAAGCAGCUAUUAGACAGGCAGAAGAUGAAGCUGACUAUAUGGCUCUCAAGAAGUUGGAGGAGGAAGAAGCUGUGGACAAUCAAGAAUUCAGUGAGGAGGUUGCGGGCAGACCAGAGGAGGAUGAAUUGGUUAAUGAGGAGGAUGGAAAACCUGAUGAGCACAUUAAUGAAGAUCACAAAUACUACUCUUCUGAUGUAGAGAAGGAGAAGCACAUUACUUUGUCUACCAAUCGAUUAAACAAUGAAAAGGCUCUUACAUUGGCUGUUGGUGAUGAAGAUACUGACAUGCUUGCUGAUGUGAAACAGAUGGCAGCAGCAGCUGCUGCAGCAGGGCAAGCAUGUUCAUCUUUUGAGAACCAGCUCCGGCCAAUUGAUAGAUAUGCAAUGCGCUUUAUGGAACUCUGGGAUCCAGUAAUUGACAAAGCUGCUGUCAAUCAUCAAGUAAAUGUUGAGGAGGAAGAAUGGGAGCUUGAUCGCAUUGAAAAACUCAAAGAGGAUUUAGAAGCGGAAAUUGAUGAAGACCAAGAACCACUAUCGUAUCAAUCAUGGGAUGUUGAUUUUGCUACGACAGCCUAUCGGCAACAUGUUGAGGCUUUAACUCAAAAGCAGUUGUUGGAAGAACAGGAAAGACAGGCUCAGGAAGCAGCAAAAGAGUUGGAAGAGAAUAAUGAUAAUAUGAGGUACAACAACAACAACAGUCUUGUAGUCCCAAACAAGUUACCCAAUAGAAACCACAAUCACCGCAGAAAGUCAAACAAGAAUAAAAAGAAGACUGGCAAAUUCAAGUCCCAGAAAAGACCGCGUUUGUCUUCUGAAUCAGAAGUCAUUCUGGAGGAAACCUCUGUAGAUACAAUGAGCAUUGAUGACAAUGCACCCUCACCUGAGCUUAUAAGUGAUGAAUCGCCACACCAUUAUUCUAACAAGCGUAAGAAGAUUAUGUCUGCUACUGAGGAAGAUAGUAACAGCAGAAGUUUAAAAAAGUUUAAGAAAACUAAAUCAAGUUUUAUUUCUGAGUUGUCACCUAGGCCGAAGGAGGACCUUAAUGAUUCAGAUCCAAAAUCAGUGGCUAGAACUAAAAGUGAUGGCAGACUUUCCAUCCCUUGCAUGCCAGUAAAGCGUGUUAUUGUGAUAAAGCCUGAGAGAUUGAAAAAGAAGGGAAUAUGGUCUCGAGAUUGUGCUUCAGACUCAUGGACAUCUGAGGAAGAUGCAGUUCUUUGUGGAACUGUGCAUGAGUAUGGUCCUCUUUGGGAACUGGCAAGUGAUUUUCUUCACUCCUUGCCAGGCGGGUCCUCCUAUAGGGGAAGAUAUCAUCAUCCUUUGCAUUGCUGUGAGAGAUACAGAGAACUUUUCUGCAAAUAUGCAAUAUCAGCAACAGAUAAUUCUAACAGUGAAAAGGCUCCUUCUGGGACUGGAAAGGCUGUACUUAGAGUAUCUGAGGAUCAAGCUCAGAUGUUGGUGAAUGUGACCAGUGAACUUCCCAACAAUGAAUUGCUUCUCCAGAAACACUUCAUGGCUGUAAUUUCAUCUGUAUGGAGAUCAAAAUGUUGCCGUCAUCCCUGCUGUUUUAGGAAUAAGCCUGGUGGAUCAAGUGAGAACUGGCCCAUGGUAAACUUUAGACCAAGCGUCAAUCUAGUUAGGGAAGCCCUUGCAGCUGGUCAGGCUAAGUUUACGCUAACUGUGAUUCCACCACCGUCAAGAAACCAGGAAUACUCACGGAAUUAUUUAGAAUUAGAGUUAGAUUUCUUGAAAGAUCAACAUGCCUAUGAGGAAGACUUCCCGUCUGUACUAAAUGUAUCCAUACUGGAACCAGAAUCAUCCAAACAGGCUCCAGAGCCAGUGGAACAAUCAUUGUUAUCUGAACUUUCAUGUAGACAGGCUGAGAACCGACUCAGGAUAGCGUCAGAAGCUUGUUAUGAUGGUGAAAGUUUUCAUUGGGCAUCAUCAUCUUUCCACAUAAAUGAUGCUGCCCGCCACAAAUCUGGUUUGAAGUCUAUAGGGAAGCACAAAGCAGCAUCGGAAUCUGGUAGACCUCCCAAAUCCAAAGUCCAGAAGAUUACUGAAUUGCAUCAGGAAGGGCCAAUUGCCAUGAGUAAUUUUCUCUGUAUGCCUGCUCAACUAUUGCCAAGUACAGCUGACUUCCACAUUAGUGACUCCCUAUCUGACUUUGGUAUCAACGAUUAUGAAUUCAACUACUCUGAGGAUCUCUUGCAAGAGUUUGACGCCCUCGAGUUCUUCCCAGAUCAGGGUGACUCUGGUCUCCUUGGUAUUGAAGAGUUAGAACCUCUUUCGGAUUUCACAGAUAUCGGAUGAACAUAGAUGAGCAAAUUAUGGUUGAUGGGAUGCUGUCCUAUACCAAGAGGAGACAAGAUCGCCUCUGGCAGGAGCCCAAGGAUAUAGGUUGAGUUGCUCAACCAUGCACAGAUGUGCUGCAAGCUUUAUCAUGGCUGGCUGGAGCAAAGCUGCUGGCUUGGUGAGGUCACAUUGAUCUGACAAGCUUGAGGAUGGGUUUGCACUAAUGGCGGCAUUGGGUAAUUUCCAUACAUGUACCAACAGAGAAGGUAAAAGAGGAGGCCCUCAGCACCACCCAUUUGUUGCUGUAUAUCGUGUUCAUUCUCUGUUUAAUCCAAUGUUGUUUGGCUAUUUUGCCACUGAAAACAUCUCACAUGUCAAGUUGGUGGAUGCCAUCUCUAUCAGAAAUUUAGGAUGUGGCGCCAAUGUCCAAAGAAUGAUCAGUCAAGUGCAGCUUAUCGGCGCAUUAUAUUUGGUCAGGAAUCAAUGCAUGACAUCAAUAUGAUCAGAACUGCUGUUCCAGUUUCAUUUGAGGAAUGCAAUUUCUGGUGAUUCGGGAUGCAAGUUUUUCAUAGGAGGUAAAGAGCGUGGGCAUAGUUGUACAUGUAAUAAAAUGAAUAAGGUUCUGUGAACUCUCGGUCUCGGUUAUGCCAAUUAAUAGCCAUAAUUUGUUGUUAGAGGCCAGGGGGCUUUUUGAUCAGCGGGCUGCUGCUGUGAGCCGGUAACAAUGUAGCUGAUUGUGCGCCUCCAUAUUGUUUUCUUGGUAAGUGGACUUUGCAUCACUGCCAAGCAACGAUGAGAUAGAGUAAUUGGUCUGUUUCGCGCAAAAAUACUACGAGCUUGUAUUCA
This is an RNA transcript of Zea mays, 8885 nucleotides long. RefSeq lists it as uncharacterized. The record is from RefSeq and is marked validated. The transcript has 20 exons. NCBI's taxonomy places the organism in Eukaryota, Viridiplantae, Streptophyta, Magnoliopsida, Poales, Poaceae.